CCUACGGGUGGCUGCAGUGAGGAAUAUUGGUCAAUGGGCGCUAGCCUGAACCAGCCAAGUAGCGUGAAGGAUGACUGCCCUAUGGGUUGUAAACUUCUUUUAUAGGGGAAUAAAGUGCAGUAUGUAUACUGCUUUGCAUGUACCUUAUGAAUAAGGAUCGGCUAACGCCGUGCAAGCAGCAGCGGUAAUACGGAGGAUCCGAGCGUUAUCCGGAUUUAUUGGGUUUAAAGGGAGCGUAGGCGGGUUGUUAAGUCAGUUGGUACAGUUUGCGGCUCAACCGUCAAAUUGCAGUUGCUACUGGCAUCCUUGCGUACAGUAGAGGUAGGCGGACUUCGUUGUGUAGCGG
This 346-nucleotide ribosomal RNA is filed under the name uncultured bacterium. RNAcentral's name for it is "partial 16S ribosomal RNA". It matches the Rfam family "Bacterial small subunit ribosomal RNA", at positions 338 to 681 of the family's 1533-position model. The record is from RNAcentral.